UUGGGACUAAUACGUUGCCCCGAUGGCAAUAACAGUGCCUGCGGGAUGAACAGGUCCCAAUAUUUACUACCAUUUUGCUCACUUUGUCAGCUAUUAUUCACAUUAUUAGCUGAUCAUUUAAGGAUGGGAAAUU
This 133-nucleotide small nucleolar RNA is filed under the name Zea mays. Its description in RNAcentral is "Zm_48". The stretch from base 35 to 133 matches the Rfam family "Small nucleolar RNA snoR99". Lineage: Eukaryota; Viridiplantae; Streptophyta; Magnoliopsida; Poales; Poaceae. The record is from RNAcentral.